AGAGUUUGAUCCUGGCUCAGGACGAACGCUGGCGGCGUGCCUAACACAUGCAAGUCGAGCGGAGACAGUGAGUAGCUUGCUACGAACUGUUUCAGCGGCGGACGGGUGAGUAACGCGUGAGCAACCUUUCCCAGACAGGGGAACAACACACCGAAAGGUGUACUAAUACCGCAUAAGACCACGGGAUCACAUGGUUCUGAGGUAAAAGAAUUAUCGGUUUGGGGUGGGCUCGCGUCCGAUUAGGUAGUUGGUGAGGUAACGGCCCACCAAGCCGACGAUCGGUAGCCGACCUGAGAGGGUGAUCGGCCACAUUGGGACUGAGACACGGCCCAAACUCCUACGGGAGGCAGCAGUGGGAAUAUUGGGCAAUGGAGGAAACUCUGACCCAGCAACGCCGCGUGGAGGAAGAAGGUUUUCGGAUCGUAAACUCCUGUCCUUGGAGACGAGUAGAAGACGGUAUCCAAGGAGGAAGCCCCGGCUAACUACGUGCCAGCAGCCGCGGUAAUACGUAGGGGGCAAGCGUUGUCCGGAAUAAUUGGGCGUAAAGGGCGCGUAGGCGGCUCGGUAAGUCUGGAGUGAAAGUCCUGCUUUUAAGGUGGGAAUUGCUUUGGAUACCGUCGGGCUUGAGUGCAGGAGAGGUUAGUGGAAUUCCCAGUGUAGCGGUGAAAUGCGUAGAGAUUGGGAGGAACACCAGUGGCGAAGGCGACUAACUGGACUGUAACUGACGCUGAGGCGCGAAAGUGUGGGGAGCAAACAGGAUUAGAUACCCUGGUAGUCCACACUGUAAACGAUGAAUGCUAGGUGUAGGGGGUAUCGACCCCUUCUGUGCCGCAGUCAACACAAUAAGCAUUCCGCCUGGGGAGUACGGCCGCAAGGUUGAAACUCAAAGGAAUUGACGGGGGCCCGCACAAGCAGCGGAGCAUGUGGUUUAAUUCGACGCAACGCGAAGAACCUUACCAGGUCUUGACAUCCACUUAGACUUACAGAGAUGUAAGGUGUGCUUGCACAAAGUGAGACAGGUGGUGCAUGGUUGUCGUCAGCUCGUGUCGUGAGAUGUUGGGUUAAGUCCCGCAACGAGCGCAACCCUUAUCUUCAGUUACUAACGCGUAAAGGUGAGGACUCUGAAGAGACUGCCGGGGACAACUCGGAGGAAGGUGGGGACGACGUCAAAUCAUCAUGCCCCUUAUGACCUGGGCUACACACGUGCUACAAUGGCCACGACAGAGAGAAGCGAAAUCGCAAGGUAGAGCGGAACUCAAAAAAGUGGUCCCAGUUCGGAUUGUGGGCUGCAACCCGCCCACAUGAAGUCGGAGUUGCUAGUAAUCGCGGAUCAGCAUGCCGCGGUGAAUACGUUCCCGGGCCUUGUACACACCGCCCGUCACACCAUGGGAGUUGGGAGUGCCCAAAGCCGGUGAGGCAACCGCAAGGAGCCAGCCGUCUAAGGCAAGACCAAUGACUGGGGUGAAGUCGAAACAAGGUA
Molecule: ribosomal RNA, 1480 nt
Filed under: metagenome
Description: bacterial SSU rRNA
Rfam family: Bacterial small subunit ribosomal RNA
Source: RNAcentral